Hydractinia symbiolongicarpus is the source of this 1262-nucleotide long non-coding RNA. RefSeq lists it as uncharacterized. NCBI's taxonomy places the organism in Eukaryota, Metazoa, Cnidaria, Hydrozoa, Anthoathecata, Hydractiniidae. The transcript is spliced from 4 exons. The record is from RefSeq and is a predicted model, not a curated record.
AAGGGUACAUUGUUCUUGCAAUUUUUUCACAAAAGCGCAUAUGAAACGUUCCCUAUUGAACUGUUCGGUAUUUUAUUUUUAAGUAUUAAGUUUUAUUUUCUUCUCGCCUUUUUAAUAACAAACCGUUUUAUGAUGAAAAGAAAGUAAGUUGUCGCGAAUCUUCCACGCUUUAUAUCACCUACGAAUACUCUUGGAUUUAAUGCAUUCUGCAGGUGACGAGACAAACGAAAGCGGUUGGUUUCUUAACGAAAAACUUAAAAGAGAAGCAACAAACCUAAUCGUGACUUGGGAAUAGCGACUUGAGUAUAGCUUUGAUUGUUGAUCUGUUCUAAAACUACAGGCGAAUGCGUAGACGAUUACAGACGAAUAACAGACGAAAACAGACGAAUCACAGACGAGUACAGACAAGUUACAGACGACUUACAGAGGAGUACAGAUAAUCACAGACGAGUAUAGACAAGUUACAGACGAGUACAGACAAGUUACAGGCGACUUACAGACGAGUACAGAUAAUCACCACAGACAAAUUACAAAUCACAGACGAGCCGAUUUUUUUUCUAUCUUUAAAAAUGAAACUACAUAAAAAGAAAAGACUUUAUAAUGACCAGAAGAAAGGGAUGGAAAUUAGUGAUAGUGAUGAAGAUUGUGUGAUAACUCGAGGGACCAAGUAUGAUAAAGGCUUCAACUUACGGGGAACAGCAAAAUGCAUUAUUGUAUUGUUCUUUUACAUGCUGCUUUCUGGAAAUUCAAUGUCUCAGAAAAAAAAACUUGGCUAGAUGGGAAGUGUUAAAUAGUCCGACUUUUGUUUUUAUCUUUACUAGGAAAUUUAUCAGGUUAUGUAAAUACAAAACUACUAGCCGUAAAUACAAAAAUGGUCUUUUAUUUAUGAACAUGUCCUAUUCUUUACUUCGUGGUGUUUGAGAGGCCUCUUAUUGCGUCACAUAAUUUUUGGCUCUGGAACUGAGUCGAAAGUCAAAGCAAAAAAAAGCAAGCAAAGCAGCACUGGCGGACUAUGUGAAAUUAUGAUCAUAAUCAUUCCUCUCAUUGCAAAUUUGUAACCCUCCUGUUAUGUACAACUGUAUCAUUUUUCAACAAAGAUUUCCUUAACAAACUUUCACAGGUAGAAACCAAAGUUUCAAGCUAAAAGUUCUCCUAGAGCGUUAAUUCGCAACAGUUUUUUUCGCUAUCUUUCACGAAAUUUUAUAUCUGCGAAAAGUAAAAAUUUUAUGAAUUUUUUCAUGCGCUAAAGUUUCUGCACUUCA